GCCAAAUGAAGAGAGAAGCCAGCUGUUUGGAAAGAAUGUUCUCUUCAUUGAUGAUCAGAAGUGACUUCAGCAAUCGGUUGUGGGACAGCUGACCAAUUGGUUUGGUAAGAUUAUGAACAAAGAAGAAUUUUCUGGCAGAAAGUUUGCUGAUUCACUGAAGUCAAGACUAGAGUCAGCAAAUUCCCACAGAAGACCUUUGGGUGGGAGAAUUUAUUACAUUUUCAUAUCCAGACAUAGCUGACAAGUCAGUGGUGAAGAAGGCCGAAAAAAUAAUUGGCAGAUCCCUCCCUCCCAUCCAGGACACAGCACAGAAACAUUGCUUGAGCAGGAUCCGUAAGAUUAUCUGGGACACCACAUAUCCUCUUCAUAAUCUGUUUUCCAAGACAAGAGAAGACAAGAGAAGGAGAUGGGAAAGAGAAAGAGAAAGA
Long non-coding RNA from Crotalus tigris (Tiger rattlesnake), 428 nucleotides. RefSeq lists it as uncharacterized. The record is from RefSeq and is a predicted model, not a curated record. NCBI's taxonomy places the organism in Eukaryota, Metazoa, Chordata, Lepidosauria, Squamata, Viperidae. The transcript has 4 exons.